CUAAGUUUGAUGGCGACCGGCGCACGGGGUGAGUAACACGUAUCCAACCUGCCGAUGACUCGGGGGAUAGCCUUUCGAAAGAAAGAUUAAUACCCGAUGGCAUAGUUCUUCCGCAUGGUAGAACUAUUAAAGAAUUUCGGUCAUCGAUGGGGAUGCGUUCCAUUAGGUUGUUGGCGGGGGUAACGGCCCACCAAGCCUUCGAUGGAUAGGGGUUCUGAGAGGAAGGUCCCCCACAUUGGAACUGAGACACGGUCCAAACUCCUACGGGAGGCAGCAUGG
RNAcentral lists this ribosomal RNA (279 nucleotides) under uncultured bacterium. Its description in RNAcentral is "partial 16S ribosomal RNA". It matches the Rfam family "Bacterial small subunit ribosomal RNA", at positions 79 to 353 of the family's 1533-position model. The record is from RNAcentral.